RNAcentral lists this ribosomal RNA (497 nucleotides) under uncultured bacterium. RNAcentral's name for it is "partial 16S ribosomal RNA". It matches the Rfam family "Bacterial small subunit ribosomal RNA", at positions 28 to 507 of the family's 1533-position model. The record is from RNAcentral.
GAUGAACGCUGGCGGCGUGCCUAAUACAUGCAAGUCGAGCGCACGGGCGAGAUACUUGUAUCUCUUGGAUUAGCAGCGGACGGGUGAGUAACACGUGGGUAACCUACCUAUAAGACUGGGAUAACAUCUGGAAACGGGUGCUAAUACCGCAUAAUAUUUUUAACCACAUGUUUCAAGAGUGAAAGACGCUCUUGCUGUCACUUAUAGAUGUAUCCGCGCUGCAUUAGCUGGUUGGUAAGUUAACGGCUUACCAAGGCAACGAUGCAUAGCCAACCGGAGAGGUGGACCGGCCACACUGGACCUGGGCAACGGCCCAGACUCCUACGGGAGGCAGAAGUAGGGAACUUCCCGAAAUGAGCGAAAUCUUGACGGAGCAACGCGGCGUGGUGGAUGAAGGUUUUCGGUUCGUAAACCUCUGUUAUUAGGGAAGAACAUAUGUGUAAGUAACUGUGCACAUCUUGACGGUACCUAAUCAGAAAGCCACGGCUAACUACGUG